AUUGAACGCUGGCGGCAGGCCUAACACAUGCCAGUCGAGCGGAUGAAGGGAGCUUGCUCCUGGAUUCAGCGGCGGACGGGUGAGUAAUGCCUAGGAAUCUGCCUGGUAGUGGGGGAUAACGUCCGGAAACGGGCGCUAAUACCGCAUACGUCCUGAGGGAGAAAGUGGGGGAUCUUCGGACCUCACGCUAUCAGAUGAGCCUAGGUCGGAUUAGCUAGUUGGUGGGGUAAAGGCCUACCAAGGCGACGAUCCGUAACUGGUCUGAGAGGAUGAUCAGUCACACUGGAACUGAGACACGGUCCAGACUCCUACGGGAGGCAGCAGUGGGGAAUAUUGGACAAUGGGCGAAAGCCUGAUCCAGCCAUGCCGCGGGUGUGAAGAAGGUCUUCGGAUUGUAAAGCACUUUAAGUUGGGAGGAAGGGCAGUAAGUUAAUACCUUGCUGUUUUGACGUUACCAACAGAAUAAGCACCGGCUAACUUCGU
RNAcentral lists this ribosomal RNA (483 nucleotides) under uncultured bacterium. Its description in RNAcentral is "partial 16S ribosomal RNA". It matches the Rfam family "Bacterial small subunit ribosomal RNA", at positions 30 to 506 of the family's 1533-position model. The record is from RNAcentral.